Molecule: ribosomal RNA, 253 nt
Filed under: uncultured bacterium
Lineage: Bacteria
Description: partial 16S ribosomal RNA
Rfam family: Bacterial small subunit ribosomal RNA
Source: RNAcentral
GACGUAGGGCGCGAGCGUUGUCCGGAUUUAUUGGGCGUAAAGAGCUCGUAGGCGGCUUGUCGCGUCGUCCGUGAAAACUUGGGGCUCAACCCCAAGCUUGCGGUCGAUACGGGCAGGCUCGAGUUCGGUAGGGGAGACUGGAAUUCCUGGUGUAGCGGUGAAAUGCUUAGAUAUGAUAUAGAACACCAAUUGCGAAGGCAGGUUACUGAGCCAUUACUGACGCUGAGGCACGAAAGCGUGGGGAUCAAACAGG